GAAAUGCGAUAAGUAAUGUGAAUUGCAGAAUUCAGUGAAUCAUCGAAUCUUUGAACGCACCUUGCGCUCCUUGGUAUUCCUUGGAGCAUGCCUGUUUGAGUAUCAUGAAAUCUUCAAAGUAAAUCUUUUGUUAACUCAAUUGGUUUCUACUAUGGUAUUGGAGGUCUUUGCAGCUUCACACCUGCUCCUCUUUGUUCAUUAGCUGGAUCUCAGUGUUAUGCUUGGUUCCACUCGGCGUGAUAAGUUAUCUAUCGCUGAGGACACUGUAAAAGGUGGCCAAGGUAAAUGCAGAUGAACCGCUUCUAAUAGUCCAUUGACUUGGACAAUACUUUUAUGAUCUGAUCUCAAAUCAGGUAGGACUACCCGCUGAACUUAAGC
This 378-nucleotide unclassified non-coding RNA is filed under the name plant metagenome. Its description in RNAcentral is "partial contains 5.8S ribosomal RNA, internal transcribed spacer 2, and large subunit ribosomal RNA". The stretch from base 1 to 105 matches the Rfam family "5.8S ribosomal RNA", at positions 50 to 154 of the family's 154-position model. The record is from RNAcentral.